GGACAGCAUCCUAAGGUUAAAGAGGAUGAUGAGAUGAUGCUCGGAGCAGAAUCGGGUUCGGUGAGACAUCUGACCUCUUGUGAUCACCUCGUUGCUUCCUUGUCGACUGAUCUUGCUCGCAUACCAAAUCCCGAUACACCCUGCAACAGGUUAGCCAAACCCUUUAAACACGGCAAUUUAAAUAAUUCAUCUUUGCUUGAUUUCAUUUCAUUGAAAUUGGAGAAAUUCAUCAUGCAAUUAUAAUAUAGAAAAAAGUGGGGGAAAAUGGAAACUUGAUAUAUUUAUUGUCAAAUCUUGAGUCCAACUAAUGUGUGAUCAGUAUUGGUUGCCGCAUGUAAGUUAUUCAUUUUACAACACUAGCAAUGAGUAACACAAUGAAGAUGCUCGCGUAACCUGCGGAGUGAUUUGCAUGUAUGAAGGUGCCAACACCCGAGGGGAAACUGGCUAUGUUUGUGUUGCAAGGAAGUGCUUUGCAGCCGUUAUGUGAACAAGCACAUGCUUCAGCAUUACCAGGAAACAAACCAUUCUGUAGCAUUAGGCUAUAGGUAUGACCAUGAACUUUGAUCGUUGUUGUAUUUUCCCAUGUGUAUGUCUCAUUGAUUCUGUUUGAAUUGGAAGGGUAUUCUUAACUAUUAUAUAUUGUGAUUUAUAAACACCUUGUUUUUGGCUAAGCAGUGACCUGUCAGUUUGGUGUUUCGCCUGCCAUGCAUAUUUAAAUGCUCAAGCGAUUCUGCAACUGCGACCUGUUCAUGAGACGUCUUACGUUCUGAAAUUUGGUGAAACCCUCCCUUUUAAUACGGGACAGCAUCCUGAGGUUAAAGAGGACGACGAGAUGAUGCUCGGAGCAGAAUCGGGUUGGGUGAGACAUCUGACCUCUUGUGAUCACCUCGUUGCUUCCUUGUCGACUGAUCUCGCUCGCAUACCAAAUCCCGAUACACCCUGCAACAGGUAAGCCCUUUAAACACGUCAAUUUUAAUAUUUUAUUUUUGCUUGAUUUCAUUUUCAUGCAAAUUCGAGAAAUUCAUCGUAUAAUUAUAAUAUAUAAUUAUAAUAUAGAAAAAGAGGGAGGGAAAAUAUAAACUGGGUAUAUUUAUUGUCAAAUCUUG
Molecule: long non-coding RNA, 1106 nt
Filed under: Citrus x clementina
Lineage: Eukaryota; Viridiplantae; Streptophyta; Magnoliopsida; Sapindales; Rutaceae
Description: Citrus clementina (C. clementina) long non-coding RNA (CCLE_LNC000741)
Source: RNAcentral